Molecule: ribosomal RNA, 1864 nt
Filed under: Streptomyces sp. 840.1
Lineage: Bacteria; Bacillati; Actinomycetota; Actinomycetes; Kitasatosporales; Streptomycetaceae
Description: bacterial LSU rRNA
Rfam family: Bacterial large subunit ribosomal RNA
Source: RNAcentral
GUGGCCAAGUUUUUAAGGGCGCACGGUGGAUGCCUUGGCACCAGGAACCGAUGAAGGACGUGGGAGGCCACGAUAGGCCCCGGGGAGCUGUCAACCAAGCUUUGAUCCGGGGGUGUCCGAAUGGGGAAACCCGGCAGUCGUCAUGGGCUGUCACCCGCUGCUGAACACAUAGGCAGUGUGGAGGGAACGAGGGGAAGUGAAACAUCUCAGUACCCUCAGGAAGAGAAAACAACCGUGAUUCCGGGAGUAGUGGCGAGCGAAACUGGAUCAGGCCAAACCGUAUGCGUGUGAUACCCGGCAGGGGUUGCGCAUGCGGGGUUGUGGGAUCUCUUUUUCACGGUCUGCCGGCUGUGAGACGAGUCAGAAACCGUUGAUGUAGGCGAAGGACAUGCGAAAGGUCCGGCGUAGAGGGUAAGACCCCCGUAGCUGAAACAUUAACGGCUCGUUUAAGAGACACCCAAGUAGCACGGGGCCCGAGAAAUCCCGUGUGAAUCUGGCGGGACCACCCGUUAAGCCUAAAUAUUCCCUGGUGACCGAUAGCGGAUAGUACCGUGAGGGAAUGGUGAAAAGUACCGCGGGAGCGGAGUGAAAUAGUACCUGAAACCGUGUGCCUACAAGCCGUGGGAGCGUCGCGCGCCGAGUUUACUCGGUGCGUCGUGACUGCGUGCCUUUUGAAGAAUGAGCCUGCGAGUUUGCGGUGUGUUGCGAGGUUAACCCGUGUGGGGAAGCCGUAGCGAAAGCGAGUCCGAAUAGGGCGAUUUAGUAGCGCGCUCAAGACCCGAAGCGGAGUGAUCUAGCCAUGGGCAGGUUGAAGCGGAGGUAAGACUUCGUGGAGGACCGAACCCACCAGGGUUGAAAACCUGGGGGAUGACCUGUGGUUAGGGGUGAAAGGCCAAUCAAACUCCGUGAUAGCUGGUUCUCCCCGAAAUGCAUUUAGGUGCAGCGUCGUGUGUUUCUUGCCGGAGGUAGAGCACUGGAUAGGCGAUGGGCCCUACCGGGUUACUGACCUUAGCCAAACUCCGAAUGCCGGUAAGUGAGAGCACGGCAGUGAGACUGUGGGGGAUAAGCUCCAUGGUCGAGAGGGAAACAGCCCAGAGCAUCGACUAAGGCCCCUAAGCGUACGCUAAGUGGGAAAGGAUGUGGAGUCGCAGAGACAACCAGGAGGUUGGCUUAGAAGCAGCCACCCUUGAAAGAGUGCGUAAUAGCUCACUGGUCAAGUGAUUCCGCGCCGACAAUGUAGCGGGGCUCAAGCGUACCGCCGAAGUCGUGUCAUUCCAGCACAUACCCCCAACGGGGGCUGGGAUGGGUAGGGGAGCGUCGUGUGCCGGGUGAAGCAGCCGCGGAAGCGAGUUGUGGACGGUUCACGAGUGAGAAUGCAGGCAUGAGUAGCGAUACACACGUGAGAAACGUGUGCGCCGAUUGACUAAGGGUUCCUGGGUCAAGCUGAUCUGCCCAGGGUAAGUCGGGACCUAAGGCGAGGCCGACAGGCGUAGUCGAUGGACAACCGGUUGAUAUUCCGGUACCCGCUUUGAAACGCCCAAUACUGAAUCAGGCGAUGCUAAGUCCGUGAAGCCGGCCCGAUCUCUUCGGAGUUGAGGGUAGUGGUGGAGCCGACGAACCAGACUUGUAUUAGGUAAGCGAUGGGGUGACGCAGGAAGGUAGUCCAACCCGGGCGGUGGUAGUUCCCGGGGUAAGGGUGUAGGCCGUGUGGUAGGUAAAUCCGUCACACAUUAAGGCUGAGAACCUGAUGCCGAGCCGAUUGUGGUGAAGUGGAUGAUCCUAUGCUGUCGAGAAAAGCCUCUAGCGAGUUUCAUGGCGGCCCGUACCCUAAACCGACUCAGGUGGUCAGGUAGAGAAUACCGAG